CUUGAGUAACUAUAAGAGGUCCAGCCUGCCCAGUGACUUUGUUCAACGGCCGCGGUAUCCUAACCGUGCGAAGGUAGCGUAAUCACUUGUCUUUUAAAUGGGGACUUGUAUGAACGGCAUCACGAGGGUUAUACUGUCUCCUUUUUCUAAUCAGUGAAACUAAUUUUCCCGUGAAGAAGCGGGAAUAAACAUAUAAGACGAGAAGACCCUAUGGAGCUUUAAACUCAAUAACAAAUACUGACCUUACAUCAACUUUCAGAAGAUUCACCUUAAUUUUAGUAUUAUGAUUAUUAGUUUUAGGUUGGGGUGACCGCGGAGUAAAAAUUAACCUCCACAUUGAACGGGACCUAUCCCUGAGCCAAGAACUACAGCUCAAAGCACCAACAAAUUGACAUUAAUUGACCCAAUAUUUUGAUCAACGAAC
RNAcentral lists this ribosomal RNA (424 nucleotides) under Osteocephalus oophagus group sp. ABGD cluster 12. Its description in RNAcentral is "partial large subunit ribosomal RNA". It matches the Rfam family "Bacterial large subunit ribosomal RNA", at positions 1834 to 2439 of the family's 2925-position model. The record is from RNAcentral. Lineage: Eukaryota; Metazoa; Chordata; Amphibia; Anura; Hylidae.